GAUGAAGAACGCAGUGAAAUGCGAUACUUGGUGUGAAUUGCAGAAUCCCGUGAACCAUCGAGUCUUUGAACGCAAGUUGCGCCUGAAGCCACUAGGCCGAGGGCACGCCUGCCUGGGCGUCACACGCCGUUGCCCCCCCAUCUACUCCUUCGGGAUUGCGGGGGGGCGGAUGAUGGCCUCCCGUGCGCCUAGCCGCGCGGUUGGCAUAAAUACCAAGUCCUCGGCGACGCACGCCACGACAAUCGGUGGUUGCGAAACCUCGGUUGCCCGUCGUGUGCGUUCGUCGCGCAUCGAGGGCUCGAAAAAAUGCUCGGCUCCGGCUGGGCUUUCAACGCGACCCCAGGUCAGGCGGGGUUACCCGCUGAAUUUAAGCAUAUCAAUAAGCGGAGGA
RNAcentral lists this unclassified non-coding RNA (391 nucleotides) under soil metagenome. RNAcentral's name for it is "partial contains 5.8S ribosomal RNA, internal transcribed spacer 2, and large subunit ribosomal RNA". The stretch from base 1 to 122 matches the Rfam family "5.8S ribosomal RNA", at positions 35 to 154 of the family's 154-position model. The record is from RNAcentral.